Molecule: RNA transcript, 11747 nt
Organism: Vitis vinifera (wine grape)
Lineage: Eukaryota; Viridiplantae; Streptophyta; Magnoliopsida; Vitales; Vitaceae
Exons: 15
Source: RefSeq, a predicted model, not a curated record
AACACGGGAAGUCGCACCCCGUUCGGGUACGAAGCAUUGCCCAUUUGGGAUUUGGGAAUUUAGGAGGAGAGGCGGCCAUACGCAAAAGUCCCCAGUCUGCUGCUUCACAUAUAAAACCAACCAUUAGCCAUAUUGGCGACACGCGGGCCACAAAACCGUGUUUAGCCCAACCAGACCCACGAGACUCAAUUCAGAAUCUCCUCGCUUUCGCAAACCCUAACCCUAAACUCUAGAUUUGCUGCGAUAACGAUGGCCAGCGAUACCCCGGAUUCCAAACGCAAGCACCGAAGAUCCUCUGAUGAUGAUGCCGAUGACUCCUCCAAGCGCCGUAAGCACCGUCAUCACCACCACCAUCGCCGCCACCGCCAUAGCAGCCGGAAACACGAAGCUGAGGGGGAAGGAAAACAUGAAGCCGAAGGCGACGGAAAACACGCGGCCGAAGAUUUUGUGGCUCUUCCAUCACCACAGCCCGCUGCUACUGUCGUUGCUGUUGUAUCGGGUUCCAAUUGGAGACCCGAUUAUGAUAUGGAAGAAGGUGAGAUUGUCGAAGAAGAGGGGUUUGGGGCUGGUGGUGAUGCAAUUGAGAAGAGGAAAUCUGAUUCUGAUGUUGAGUCUGGCGAGAUUAAAGCACUGGAAGUUCGUGAUGUAUCUGAUGUUCAAAAUCUGGAUGGUCAUAUGGCAAAUGGUGAUCAACAAGAAUUUUGCGCAAUGGCUAAUAGUAGAGGGAAAGUUGCUAGAAAUUUGAAUACAUUGCAAGAGUAUAGGAGUGAUGAUGAUUUGGUGACUGAUUCAGAUUUAGUAAAUGAGACAGGCAAAUCAGACUAUGAAGCUAAAAUUGGUAAUAAGAUCCAUGGUGAGGAUGGUUUGUCAAGGCAUCCAAGUGCCAAGCAUUACGAAGAAUUGUUUUCGAUUGGUAGUCCAGAUGGUGAUAUGAAUAGGGAUGCUCGCCAUGAAUCUCAUCGGAAGAACAAUUCGGGAUGUGAAUCUCCUGUAAAAGGAUAUGGCAAGACAGAGAGUUAUUAUGAGGUUGAUAAAAGUGAAUUACAAAACCAGAGAAAAUCAUUGUCAUCUGAAAGUGCAGGGGACAAAUACAAAAAGUUGGCACACUCACCAACUCAUGAUCGAUAUCGAGAUAAGGUCCAUAUGAGGGGCAGAUCAAGGUCACAUGAUCAUGCUAGGGAGCGGUCUCGUUCCCAAAGCAUUUUGCAAGAUGUGGCCCUAUCUAAAGCAACCCACCAUCAAGAAUGGAAUGCCUCAAGUUAUGCUGGUAACAGAAGGACUGACAAUGAUACAGAUGAAGAAAUGGCUCUAAGAAGAAGGGAUUAUCGACAUCCUAGCCGAGAUUUGGUGAGGGAUGAGGAAAGAGAGCGUAGUAGUAGUCAUAGCAGACAAACUCAGAGAGGGGACAAACAUCAAAGUCGGGAGACAUGGGACAUGGCUAAGGCAGGAAGGGAGAUGGACUGGGAAAGGCAAAGGGAGAGAGAGCAAGACAGAAGUAGGGAGAGGGAGAGGGAGAGGAACCGGGAAAGGGAUAGAAAAAGGGAGAAGGAACGGGAUAGGAGCAUGGACAGGGAGAUGGAUAGGAAUAGGAAAAGGGAGAAGGAUAGGGGCACAGACAGGGAGAUGGACAGGGGUAGGAAACAGGAGAGAGAAAGAGAUAGGAGCUGGGACAGGGACAGGGCAAGGGAGAGAGAUAGAAAUAGAAAUAGGGACAUAGAUUGGGAGAACGACAGGGAUAGGGCCAGGGACAGGAAAUCAGAGAGGGGGAGUGGAAGGGACAGAAGUAGGGAUAAAGUUAGGGAUUCCGAGAGUGAUAGAGUUAGCAGGCACCAUAAAUACGAAACUCUUAAUGAUGGUUAUGGAAAUCGAGAUAGGUAUGGUGAUUCCUGGUAUCUAAGACAUGAUGAGACAGAACAUCAGAGGCAUAGAACAAGGAAGAAUGAUGAAGAAAAAGGUCUCAGUUCUAAGAAUGAUUCGCUUGAAGGGAAUGGUGACAAACUGAAUAGAGAUGAAGAUGAGCAUGAAGACUACCAGGAAAGGGUUACAUUGCAACUAGCAGAAAAGGAAGAGGAAGAGUUUAACCGAAUUAAGGAGGAGAGUAGAAGGCGAAGACAAGCCAUCCUAGAAAAAUAUAAAAGUCAACACUCACAGCAACAACUUGCAUCUCAUACAGAGGAUACAGGGAAAGAUAAGGAAUCUGUGGAGCAGCCCAGUGAGACAAUAGUUGCUGAAACUAUGGUCCCAGAGGUUCCCGAUGGGAAGAAUGAUGGUACAGAUACCUAUGAUGCUGAUCCAUCAUUUUCUGUGGGGAAGUCACCUCCACAAAAUGGACUUUCUGCCUCUGAGAGGACAUCUGGUGCCGGGGGUCUGGGUGAGGGCACUCCAAAGAGUGAAAGACCAGAUGAUAUGUUCUGUGAUGAUAUUUUUGGAGAGUCACCAGCAGGAGUUCGUAAAUCGGGAAGAGGAGAUGGCUUACUAAUUGAAAGGAGUGGUCUUCAUGACAAUUGGGAUGAUGCAGAGGGAUACUAUAGUCAUCGGUUUGGAGAGAUACUUGAUGGUCGAUAUGAAAUUACUGCUGCCCAUGGAAAAGGUGUCUUUUCAACAGUAGUUCGCGCAAAGGAUCUUAAGGCUGGGAAUGGUGAGCCAGAAGAAGUGGCUAUAAAAAUCAUACGAAAUAAUGACACAAUGUAUAAAGCUGGUCUGGAAGAGUUGGUCAUAUUAAAGAAAUUAGUAGGUGCAGAUCCAGAUGACAAGCGUCAUUGUGUUCGUUUUCUCUCUAGUUUCAAAUACAGGAAUCAUCUUUGUUUAGUUUUUGAAUCUCUUCAUAUGAAUCUCCGUGAGGUUCUAAAGAAGUUCGGUCGUAAUAUUGGCCUUAAAUUAACUGCUGUAAGGGCAUAUGCUAAACAGCUUUUCAUUGCUCUCAAGCAUCUUAGGAACUGUGGCGUUCUGCAUUGUGAUAUAAAGCCAGAUAAUAUGCUGGUAAAUGAGGCCAAAAAUGUCCUGAAACUCUGUGAUUUUGGUAAUGCCAUGUUUUCUGGUAAAAAUGAAAUUACACCAUAUCUUGUGAGCCGCUUUUAUCGUGCCCCUGAGAUAAUUCUAGGCUUGCCUUAUGACCAUCCCAUGGAUAUUUGGUCUGUUGGUUGUUGUUUGUAUGAGCUUUAUACGGGAAAAGUUCUUUUUCCGGGUCCUUCAAACAAUGACAUGCUUCGGCUUCACAUGGAGUUGAAGGGUCCUUUUCCAAAAAAGAUGCUUCGAAAGGGAGCAUUUACUGAUCAGCACUUUGAUCAGGACCUUAAUUUCCAUGCCACUGAGGAGGAUCCUGUCACAAAGAAGACAAUAAAAAGGCUGAUUAUGAACAUAAGGCCAAAAGAUAUUGGUACAAUAAUUUCAAGCUCUCCUGGUGAGGACCCAAAGAUGGCAGUGAAUUUCAAAGAUCUUUUAGAAAAAAUAUUUGUGUUGGAUCCGGAGAAGAGGAUGACAGUCUCACAAGCAUUGUGUCAUCCAUUCAUCACGGGCAAGUGAACAAUGACGCUGAUUUUCUGACUCCAGAAUAGAUGUUGCGCUUGAUAUUUGUACAUUAUGACCUAAAUUUAUAUUCAGAUCUCUAAUCAUUGGGCAUUUAUCUGUCUUUAUCUUCUCUGUGCUGGGUUAAGAGCUUUCAACACAGUUUUUGGCAUUGGUUGAAGUCAAAUGGAAGAUGUUUGGUCCGGAGACCUCCUUACUUGGCGGUUCUUUCACUGGAAUGUGUUCUGUUUCUAUUGAUAUCUACCAGUGCUAUGAGGCAAUCCUUCCGUGCUUAGAUGCUUAAAAGGCACCCAGGAGAAGGCAUUCGCACUGGGGAUGUACACUGCAGUGGUCAUGAAGUGAAAAUAAAUCUCAGGUACAUCCUCUCAAAAUUCUUCAAAACCUGUAAGUAUUCUCAAAUUCUAUUUAUUUGUCUUAACCUAUUCUGUUUUUGGAUAUUAUUCAUGGUUUCUAGCAAGAAUGAAAAUAUCUGUUUUUAUGGAUAUAUCGGGAAAUAUCGGUGGAACAAAAAUCGAUCAAAACUCAUUAAGACGUUGAGAAAAAUUAUAAAAAAAAUGAUAUAAGAAGUAAUAAUAAAUAUUUUGAAGUUGUUUUGUUAGAGAAAUUAAUAUAUGUAUGAUAUACUUUGUCGUAUGCGAUAAUAAUAUUGUGUACAUCGAUAAAAAAUAUAAUUUUAUAAGUAUAUAUUCAUUAUUAAGUUACAUUAAAUAUUAUUAGAUAAUAAUAUUGUGACAUUUUAUUAUAGUAUGUGUAACUUUAAAAUAUAAUUAAUAUUAAAAUUAUGAUCCAUUUAAUUCAUUUAUAUUCAUUGAUAUAAAAUAAAUGAUAACAUAUGUAUAAAUUUUUUAAAUAUUUAUAUUUUUUAUAUUUAAUAUAUAAAUAUGAUAAAAAAACUGUUAAGAAAAUUAUCACGAUAAUUUUUAUAUUUUUAGUGAUCAAUUAAACAAAAUUUAAAAAUAAAUUAAUUAGAAUUAAUUUGUUUGUUAAAAUAUUCUUUUAAUAUUUCGUUUUUAUGAUGGUUUUAGUAUAUAUCUAUUACGGUGCACUUAGUCUAAUGAAAGGGCAAGUUAGCCUAGUGGUGAGCCAAGGCUGAUUUUGCUUGUUUUGGCUUGGGUUUGAGUCCCAAUGCUUGCAACAAGCCAAAAUUUAAGAUUUUUGAGGGUUUGACCGCACUUUGACUGAGCCUGCCUGCAUUGACCAGACCGCAAAAUUAGUAGAAUCGCCGAUAAAUGGGUAAAAAUUGGAUAAAUCGCUGAAAAAUCACCGAAAGUUGUGGAAAUAUCGAUAUGUUUGCCCAAUAUAUCUAUCGGUGGCUGCCAAUAACCGAUAUUUCAGGAAUAUAUCGGUGAUAUAUCCUGAAAUUUUCAACCAUGGUUUCUGGUAACAAUUUCUAUGUGGUCUUUGAAUUGCCUUUUAGUAUGUGGCAAAAUUUUUUGUUACUUUUCCAUGUAACUGCCACAUGUUGACCUGUUUCUUUUAGUGGUGUUGCAAUUUUUAUUUUAUUUUUCUUUUUCCACCUGACUGGGAACAAAACUGAUGCCAAACCUAAAAUGUUUCAGUAUACCACUAACAUGUUGCGAGUGUCUUUCUUUUUCUUUUCCAUUCUUUUUUGUAAAAGAUUAAGAGGUUGAGUAAGAAGGGGGGCUUGCUUGCUGGCUCUCAAGCCUUAUGGGUGGGGCAUUUCUAAGGUAUUCCCUUUCAUUACAUGCACACAUUUAGGCCAUGUUUGGAACUUUAGAAUAGAGAAUAGGAUUGAGAAAUAAAUUUCAUUUCCCAUUCAUUCAUAUGUUUGGAUUGUUUUUCAGAAUGAGAUGGAUAAAAUUUUUAUUGUUAUAGAAACCUAAUCCCACUCUUACUAUGACUUUAAUUUACUAUAUGGAAUUAUGAUUCACCUCCUUUCCCAUCUUAUUUUCCAUUCCUUUACCAAAGACACCCUUAAGGAACUCAAGACGUUAUAAAUAGUUGUGUAUAAAGUAGGUAUGAGCAAUUUUUUUGCCUGACUGGGAUCAAAAUUGAUGUCAAACCUAAAAUGUUUCAGUGUGCUACAAACAAGUUGCUGGGCUUUGAUGCAUACCUUAUUAUCAUUGAGGGGAAAGGGAGGUUUUUCUCCUCUUCUUUCUUUCUUUCUUUAUUAUAAUUAUUAUUAUUAUUAUAUCUGAGGUCGAGUAAGAAGGGGGGUUGGCUAGCUGACUUCCAAGGUUAUGGGUGGGGCAGUUCUAAUACCCUUUCAGUACUUACAUGUACUUAAAGAACUCAACAUUACGGUUAUGUGUAUAGUAGAGCUAUUAGAAGUUCAGCCAGCCAAAAGUUGCAGGGAAGGGGAUCCUUCCAAAAUUUUGAAAAUGUUACAACAUGAUUAUUGCAGAAAGUAUCGUGUAAAAUAUGGCCACAGAAAAGGAACCUACCAUUGCAGUCAUGAAUGAUGAUUUCUUGAUAUUCAGUUUGAAAUAGCAUUUGCGUUAUGUCCUCACAUUGAAAACAAUGUUGAUAAAGCUAGACCAUGAUAAUAUGAUAGCAUUAAUUCAUUUUGUCAUGGAAAUAUUGGUUGUAUCUUUCCUUUCUCAAAAUUAAGUUGUAUUUAAUGGAUAUUUUUAAUUUUUAGCUUACAUUGCGGUACCAGGGUAUAUGCCCAAAAAAUGAAUACAGGCAUAAAUGAGGUUUUAUAUUUUGUUCUCUUUUAAUAGUAGGAUCAGUAACUAACUCAUUCUGUAACUGAUUGAUUCUCUUAUAUUCCAAUGAAUCUACUCUGAAUCUUUGAGAUAUGGAUCAGGUAAACAGAUUAGGUGUAAUGAGAAUAAAACUUUUAUAUAUAUAUAAAGGAGCUCUUUUGUCCUAUGAACUUUAAUCUCUCUUGAAAUUUCAGUGUCCACUGUCCAUUUCAGGGGACUGUCCAUCAUCUUUCUUUGGUGAGUGACACAUAUUUUCACAGUGCUCGUUUUUUCCAUUUAGGAAGCAUAGUUAAACCAUCCUACUGAAUUGAACCUAGUGUUCCAGCUGCUUUGGGCAAUAAUGGGCCAAGAAAUGUUGAAAGGUGUGGGUGGGAGUUUCCAGGAAACACAAAUAAUCCUGGUUUUUUCAGAUGUGGCGAGCUUCUGGAAUAACUAAUGAAUAGCAGCUUAAGUGCACUGCUAUUGUUGAUUGGUCUUUAGCAGAAGGCUUCCCAACACUCUGGUACUAGAAUAACCUUAAUAGCCAUAGUCAUUGUAAUAGAAACUGGUGGUUUCGUCCAACAAUGUGGUAAUAGGAUAGCCUUAAUUGGUGUAAGUAUAACCUUUGCUCAUGAGUGGGUUGCUCUUGCCCACUUGCCAAACAUACCCAUAGUGAUUUUUGUGAUUCUACUUGAUUGCCAUGAUAUCUAUUCGAUUCUUAGUUCCAUCUCCUAGGGAAUAUGUUGGAAAAGCAGAAAUGUAUUUGGUUAAUGCUUUUCAAAACUGUUCUACUCCUGUUAAAGAAUCAGCUUUUGUGAUAAAUUUGAAGGGGUAGAAAAUAGAAUGUGUGUGCAUCUAUGCCUAAGAAAAGAUGAGGAAGUCACAGAGAAUCUCAUGAGUUGUUGGAGAGUUUCAGGGACAUGUUAUGUUUUUUUGUGAGUACUGAGAGUUGUAGGGAUACUUGAUCUGAGUGGGGAGAAGCUGUCCUAUAUUUAAAAUUAUUAAGAUUAUUUUAGGUAUUUUAAAGUAUUAUAUAAGGGUAAGAGAUCGAACCUCCUGUUUGUUUUAUGAUAGUGUACAUUAUAAUUAACAAUGUAGGGUUAAUUUAUUUUUAAAAAUAUUUUGUGACAAUAAUGAUCUGAAAUAGAUGACACUUUACUACUUAGGAUUUGUCAGUGUCCUGAAUAUGUUGGAGGUAGGCAAGUGUCUCUCUGUUGGUGCAGACAAGUCAUUUAAACUGGUUGUGCUGCUUCAUGAUGGAUAUAAAGGACCAAUGUAAGGUAGUCAGGAUCAAGAACACUUGAAACUUAGUUCAGGUGCUGCCCCUUUUCUUUUGUCUGAAGAGUAGGAACAAACUUAAUAAAAAAGUUACCAUUGCAUCAAGAAAUCUCGCAGAAAAUCUUGUCUAAUUAACCAGUCAGUCCUCUUGUGCCUUCCUAUUUUAUGGUUUUUGGUAUGUGGUGUAAAAGCCAGUUGAAGUUUUAGUGUCCUUUGCAUAGAUGAAGGGUGGAGUUGAGGGAAUAUCAUAUAACUUACCAUCAUCAGGUCCUCAAAAGCACGAUGAAUGAGAGAUUGGGCCUCAAAUUAUGGAUCAAAUUGGAUCAGGCUAUGGUAUCCUAUUGUGAGGUGUAUUACUUACAGUUUAAAAAUUAGAAAAUGUGUGUCAUGAUGAUUGUGUUCUAAAUGCAGCUCCACCGUUUAUGGCACAUUAUUUUUAUGAAUUAUUUUGGUUUUAUUGUGUUAUUCUUUUGAUCUCCAUAUGGAUUGUAAGGUUGUAACAUAAUAUUCUGGGGAUCCCUCUAUAUCUUUUAUGAUUGUGAAUUGAGGGGAGAAGCUUCUAAGGUAAGGGGUUAAAUGUGUUUAUCCCCUUCUAACAUGCUUUAACAUGGAAUAUAUGUGCAUGUGCUUCCCGUCAUUUUGUAAUGGGUAGUGUAUUUGUUGCCAUAUUAGGAAAAUAAAGUAUUCUAGUUUUGGAUGACAUUGGUCUAUUAAAAUCCUUAGCAUGUUCAUUAUCAUUGUGCUAACUCUACAGUGUAAUUUACCUAAUCACAUUCUGGACUCAUGGGUAUUAGCAGUCACUUAUUUGUUCAUGAAGUGAUUAUACAUCCUAUACUAGCCUUGUUGAACUUUGAUUUUCUAUUACUCCAUUGCUUAAUGUGCUGUAGUUUUUAUUGAAUCUCUGCCUAAGGAUCACAAAUUGUGAGCUUUUCAGCCUUUUGACCUCAAGGUGUUGUUUGAAUUGUUCCUUUCCUCCCAGGUAUCCUCAUUCUACUAAAAUUACACAUAUGUUUGGCCUUAGCUGUGCCUGACCUGACCUUAAAAUUUGAAAUCUUCCCAUUGUUCUAACUUAGGAUUAAUGCAUUUUCUAGUUUUUUGAACUGAAACUACAUUGCCUGCAAACAUCAUAGAUCAUUGCCAUGGUUGAUAGUGAAUGGAAAAUAGGUGAAACGAAAGAGGAUGACUAAAGUGGCAUCAAUUAAGUAAAACGUACAGAGAGCCCAUCAAAACAAUCUAGAAUCUACUAAGCUAAAUCACUUUUACAUUGUAUCUCAUGGACCACUUGUUAACAUGUAAAUAUAAAAUUCUGUGCCUUUGUUUUGUUAUUAUUUUCUUAAAGCAUUAUGAACAUAAAAAAAUGAAAAGAAGUGUACCAAAAGGGCAAACAAAGUUAUAUGGUUCCCUAGCUGGCAAUGGUCACCAGUUCGAGUCCCCUCAGGGCCACUGGAGGUUUACUCGGUCGUUAACUUCAGGGUCCUGUGGGAUUAGUCGAGGUGCGCGUAAGUUGGCCCGAACAUCCACGGUUAUCAAAAAAAAGAAAAUGGUUCCUAGCUGGCAGAGGCCUGAUCAAUUCUUGGAACUGGUCCUGGUUUCAGGCCACUGGAUAUGUUGCAGCUGUAGGUUUCAGCAAGAUGUUGUUGCUAAAACAUUGAACAGGCAUGGCUUUGUGUAGGAGUGAAUAGCAGUUCACUUGCCUGUGGUUGGAUUUUAUAGGUAAGAUAUCCAAAACAAAAUGAAAAGCAAAAUUAGUCCACCUAUAUGAAAUAGUCAGUUAGCGGUUGAUUCAAACCUGGCUCCGGUGACAUGAGGUUGGCUUGGGGUUCAUAGAGGUUCCAAUCUAAAUACAUGUAACAGUAAAAAAGGAAAAAGAAGCAUUCAAAUUAAAUACAAUUAGUCAAAUUCCUGUACAGGAGAGAUUGUUCAGUUCACUGUUUUUGAUAUCUGUGCUUCUCUUGAGGAAUUUUUUAAGUGACUUGUUUCACUGUGUUGCCCUUGAAUUUUAAAAAUUGUUAUCUGCACUAUUAAGUAUUCCCUUUGGAGUGGUUUGGUUUACUAUUUUGCCCUUCAUUAUUUAAAAAUCUUUCCAAAAAAUUUUGUUAGCAUUGUGAAUGAAGCUUAAAUUGGUAAAUAGAUGACAAUGUAGUGAUAGUUGCAAACCUACCCCUCAAUGAUUUGCUUUGUUGUUCCUCCUGAACAUACUGUCUCUCACAGAUCCCUUGAGAUACCCAUUUAUCAUAUUUUAAGAAUUUAAAGAACAGCAUACUUCGAUCUUCAGGAUUCUGAAAAUUUAAAUGAAAAGGGGUAAAAUAUUUCUAAAUUAUGUUAGGGAAUUUCACAUGCAUCGCAUAUACUUGGAUAUGCUUUAUCUGCCUAAAGCAAUUCAAGACUUGAGUAUGGUUUUGUUGGGUGUGGUAAGUUGUUUUUCCAGAAAUGCUCAUAUAGGUUUAGGUGCAUUACUGUAUGGCUCCUUAAACAUUCUUCAAGGAUAUCUUGUGUGGACUAUUCAUUUUAGGGGACAACUGAUUCUCUGAGGUUGCUUAUCCCUAGGAAUUGAGAUUUUGGGCCCUGGAAGCCCUUGGGAGUAAAUUUCUUUUGUUACUGUGGCUUCUAUGUGUAUCAUUUUGUGUAAAGUAGAACUUUUGACUUGAGUAUGACAGCUUGGAGACAAUUUUAGAUAAGAGUCAACUGCAGUUUACUCCAAAGCUUUAUUCAGUGAAGGGUUUGAGGUAUCUAAGGGUUCAAGGGUCCCAAGAUGUGCUGUGCAGGGAUUGCAGAUCUUAGCUUCCCAGGUUGAAGUGUGCAGGCGUAGUUGGGGUGUGAUGAAGGCUUGACUCUAUAUGUAUUAUUCAUUAGGCUAUGGUUUUGGGUAUUGGUUUUGUCAAAUCCUUUUUCAUGCUUCUCUAUCCCUCUCUGCCCAUAACAAAUGAAAAAAUUUUCUCCCCUCCCUCCCUCUCGUGUGUGAAGAGUGUUCAUGUGUGCAAGGGUGUGUUGAUGAUGACUGAGGAGGCCCAUUUAUAAUUUGUUGUAUCUAGGUCCAAUUCUUUAGAAUUAAUAACAAUUUUGUUUUCAAGAUUAUUAGUGGUAAGAAGUAAGCCUGAUCAGAUACCACUUUAGAAUUCACUAUGUGCAAAAUAUGCUGCAUUUCUACAUUUACAGAGCAAAGCUGUAUAUUCCUCAUUGUAUUUUUAUUUAUUUUUAUUUUUUUCUGUUUUUAUUUUUUUAUUUUAAAUUUAUAGCCAAAAAAUAAUGCAGUUUAGCUAAUGGUUUCUUGAUUGAAAGGGUCAGGGUUCAUUAAUUGCAUCAGAACUAGAACCAGUAUGAUUCAGAAGCAGAGAAAUAAUUGGAACCGGGGGUUGGAUAGCUUAGCUAAUGCUUGAUCCAUUGAUAGUUCUAUUUGUGUGAGAUCCUUUAUAACAAUAACCUGUAGUUUCAUGAUUGAGCGACAUCCCGUUAUAGGUAAAGCUAAAUUGGUCUUUGAAUAAAGUGUUCAUUCUAUGUUUUGGAUUGUUUCUACAUUAUGUUCAAAUUUUCUGAUUCCUUGAUUCAAUUUGCAUAAAUGUAGUUAAUUUUCUGCUUGAGACAUGGCAAAUAUUAUGAUGUGGUUUUUAUGCUUGGGUGCAGUAGUAGAAUAUUUGCAUCAACUCAUUUUCCUGCUAGUGUGACUUAAGGAAAAAGAGCUGAGUGAGGCUCUGUAAUGUUAGCCGUAUUCAGUUUUGUAUAAUGCAAACUUAAUGUGGUAAUUUAGGGCUGGCUUUCAUAUUUGGCAGCAGUUUGGUUUUCUCUAGCUGGCAUGUAAUUUGAAGUCUUGUACGUCUUGUGUGUUGGGGGGUGUUGUGGCGUAAGGUAUCACCUGGGUAAGUGCUUUCAUGCAUACAAAAUGACAUAUAUGGGCUUAUGGUGGUUUUGAUGGUAGCGCCAUGGUGGUGCUACAGUUGGUAAUUUGGAGGAGUAAAGCAUGGGGUAGUUGUAGUAAGGUGUUUUGGAAAAUAGUAAGGUAGGCAAAAAUGGAGCUGCUGUGGUGUUGAGGGCUCUGCACUGACAUGAUUGUGGUGCUUCUGGUGUUUGUUGAGGACACUCUACUUCCCAUGUUGCGUUUUCUUGAUGCCUGUGAGAUCAAAUGGCUGAUUUUUAGGGCCGCUAAUUGUCACUUAAUGAGAAGUAGCACCCUUGGCCAAUGUGUUAAGUCUGCAUAGCACUAUCAAGUUUGAAUGUAUUUGUAUCUGCCCAAGUUCAACUUGAUAUGAAGUUCCAAGUGUUCAACUGACAUGAUUUUAUUUAUAUAAAGUUGGGUUUGUA